This 589-nucleotide unclassified non-coding RNA is filed under the name Hevea brasiliensis (rubber tree). The record is from RNAcentral. Lineage: Eukaryota; Viridiplantae; Streptophyta; Magnoliopsida; Malpighiales; Euphorbiaceae.
AUGCCAUAUUAGACCUAAUGCUCUGAUUUCAGAUAAGAAAAGAACAUAACAACCAGAAAAUNCGUGGAAAUGCAAAACCCCAGCCACUUUUUGUAAAUUCUUGACCUACAAUCCUGAAUGUGCAUUGGGUUGAUAGGAAGAUGUCAACGUAAGGAAGUUCGUCAACAACUGCAGCAACACCCCCAUCCUUUGUAGGACCAAGUUGGAGUGCUCUAGCAUAUGCUUCAGGUGAUCCUAGGGGAACAAGCCUAGAUUUAGAUAUUCCAAGUUCCUGACUCAAAUAAUAUUCAGCAAAAGAACCCACUUGGUAUCCUAUGGGUUCAUCACUUUCCUUUAAGCUUUCAAUCCCAUUGAUAGGAGAAAAUAAUUGCUGCACUGUGAGAAUUGAUGUCAGACUCGCAGUAUAGCUUGAGUUGAUUAUUAAAACCACAAAGAGCCAUAUGAUUAGCACAAAACGACCCAGGGUGCUCACAGUGUUUUCUCUAUGGGCAAAAAAUAAGGUUGAGAGGCUGAACCAUAAAAUAGUUAUAACUUGUCUUUUAGGUGGGCCUCUGAAUUCAUCAUUUAUCCUAUGCUCCAGAAUCCAGAC